GAGUUUGAUCUUGGCUCAGGAUGAACGCUGGCGGCGUGCCUAACACAUGCAAGUCGAACGGAGUUCUUAAGGAAUGCGGCUUCGGCCAAAUGACUUUUGAACUUAGUGGCGGACGGGUGAGUAACGCGUGAGCAACCUGCCUUUCAGAGGGGAGUAACAUUUGGAAACAGAUGCUAAUACCGCAUAAGAUUACAGUACCGCAUGAUACAGUGAUCAAAGGAGCAAUCCGCUGAAAGAUGGGCUCGCGUCCGAUUAGAUAGUUGGUGAGGUAACGGCUCGCCAAGUCGACGAUCGGUAGCCGGACUGAGGAGGUUGAACGGCCACAUUGGGACUGAGACACGGCCCAGACUCCUACGGGAGGCAGCAGUGGGGAAUAUUGCACAAUGGGCGAAAGCCUGAUGCAGCAACGCCGCGUGAGGGAAGACGGUUUUCGGAUUGUAAACCUCUGUUUCGGUGACGAAC
RNAcentral lists this ribosomal RNA (462 nucleotides) under uncultured microorganism. RNAcentral describes it as "bacterial SSU rRNA". It matches the Rfam family "Bacterial small subunit ribosomal RNA", at positions 9 to 450 of the family's 1533-position model. The record is from RNAcentral.